CCAGACUCCUACGGGAGGCAGCAGUGGGGAAUAUUGGGCAAUGGGGGAAACCCUUAUCCAGCGACGCCGCGUGAGGGAAGAAGGUUUUCGGAUUGUAAACCUCUGUCAGUGGGGACGAUAAUGACGGUACCCACGGAGGAAGCCACGGCUAACUACGUGCCAGCAGCCGCGGUAAUACGUAGGUGGCAAGCGUUGUCCGGAAUUACUGGGUGUAAAGGGAGCGUAGGCGGGAUGUCAAGUCAGAAGUGAAAUCUGGGGGCUUAACCCCCAAACUGCUUUUGAAACUGCGGGUCUUGAGUGAUGGAGAGGCAGGCGGAAUUCCCAGUGUAGCGGUGAAAUGCGUAGAUAUUGGGAGGAACACCAGUGGCGAAGGCGGCCUGCUGGACAUUAACUGACGCUGAGGCGCGAAAGCGUGGGGAGCAAACAGGAUUAGAUACCCGCGUAA
Molecule: ribosomal RNA, 445 nt
Filed under: uncultured bacterium
Lineage: Bacteria
Description: bacterial SSU rRNA
Rfam family: Bacterial small subunit ribosomal RNA
Source: RNAcentral